Molecule: ribosomal RNA, 253 nt
Filed under: uncultured bacterium
Lineage: Bacteria
Description: partial 16S ribosomal RNA
Rfam family: Bacterial small subunit ribosomal RNA
Source: RNAcentral
UACGUAGGGUGCAAGCGUUGUCCGGAAUUAUUGGGCGUAAAGAGCUCGUAGGCGGUUUGUCGCGUCUGCUGUGAAAAUCCAGGGCUCAACCCUGGACCUGCAGUGGGUACGGGCAGACUGGAGUGCGGUAGGGGAGAUCGGAAUUCCUGGUGUAGCGGUGAAAUGCGCAGAUAUCAGGAGGAACACCGGUGGCGAAGGCGGAUCUCUGGGCCGUAACUGACGCUGAGGAGCGAAAGCAUGGGGAGCGAACAGG